This 420-nucleotide ribosomal RNA is filed under the name uncultured bacterium. Its description in RNAcentral is "bacterial SSU rRNA". It matches the Rfam family "Bacterial small subunit ribosomal RNA", at positions 32 to 482 of the family's 1533-position model. The record is from RNAcentral.
AAUCAACGCUGGCGGCGUGCCUAACACAUGCAAGUCGAACGAGAAAGUGGAGCAAUCCAUGAGUACAGUGGCGUACGGGUGAGUAACACGUGACUAACCUACCCUCGAGUGGGGAAUAACCUCGGGAAACCGGGGCUAAUACCGCAUAACAUCUUCGGAUCAAAUGCGUAAGCAGCUUGGGGAGGGGUCGGCGGCCGAUUAGCUAGUUGGUGAGGUAAUGGCUCACCAAGGCAAUGAUCGGUAGCCGGCCUGAGAGGGCGCACGCCACACUGGACUGAACACGGUCCAGACUCCUACGGGAGGCAGCAGUGGGGUAAUUUUGCGCAAUGGGGGAAACCCGUGACGCAGCAACGCCGCGUGGAGGAUGAAGCCCCUUGGGUGUAAACUCCUUUCGAUCGGGACGAUUAUGACGGUACCGGA